RNAcentral lists this ribosomal RNA (146 nucleotides) under Mus musculus (house mouse). RNAcentral's name for it is "partial 12S ribosomal RNA". The record is from RNAcentral. Lineage: Eukaryota; Metazoa; Chordata; Mammalia; Rodentia; Muridae.
CAAACUGGGAUUAGAUACCCCACUAUGCUUAGCCAUAAACCUAAAUAAUUAAAUUUAACAAAACUAUUUGCCAGAGAACUACUAGCCAUAGCUUAAAACUCAAAGGACUUGGCGGUACUUUAUAUCCAUCUAGAGGAGCCUGUUCU